This 492-nucleotide ribosomal RNA is filed under the name uncultured bacterium. RNAcentral describes it as "partial 16S ribosomal RNA". It matches the Rfam family "Bacterial small subunit ribosomal RNA", at positions 29 to 507 of the family's 1533-position model. The record is from RNAcentral.
AGUGAACGCUGGCGGUAGGCCUAACACAUGCAAGUCGAACGGCAGCACAGUAAGAGCUUGCUCUUACGGGUGGCGAGUGGCGGACGGGUGAGGAAUACAUCGGAAUCUACUUUUUCGUGGGGGAUAACGUAGGGAAACUUACGCUAAUACCGCAUACGACCUACGGGUGAAAGCAGGGGAUCUUCGGACCUUGCGCGAUUGAAUGAGCCGAUGUCGGAUUAGCUAGUUGGCGGGGUAAAGGCCCACCAAGGCGACGAUCCGUAGCUGGUCUGAGAGGAUGAUCGGCCACACUGGAGCGUGGACACGGUCCAGACUCCUGAGGGAGGCAGCAGUGGGGAAUAUUGGACAAUGGGCGCAAGCCUGAUCCAGCCAUACCGCGUGGGUGAAGAAGGCCUUCGGGUUGUAAAGCCCUUUUGUUGGGAAAGAAAAGCAGCAGGUUAAUACCCCGCUGUUCUGACGGUACCCAAAGAAUAAGCACCGGCUAACUUCGUG